CAGUCGCCGCGGGAAUACGUAGGUGGCGAGCGUUGUCCGGAUUUAUUGGGCGUAAAGGGAGUGUAGGCGGUCUUUUAAGUCUGAUGUGAAAGCCCACGGCUCAACCGUGGAGGGUCAUUGGAAACUGGGAGACUUGAGUGCAGAAGAGGAGAGCGGAAUUCCAUGUGUAGCGGUGAAAUGCGUAGAUAUAUGGAGGAACACCAGUGGCGAAGGCGGCUCUCUGGUCUGUAACUGACGCUGAGGCUCGAAAGCGUGGGGAGCAAACAGGAUUAGAUACCCGCGUAGUCCCUGUCUCUUAUAC
RNAcentral lists this ribosomal RNA (301 nucleotides) under uncultured bacterium. RNAcentral describes it as "partial 16S ribosomal RNA". It matches the Rfam family "Bacterial small subunit ribosomal RNA", at positions 509 to 807 of the family's 1533-position model. The record is from RNAcentral.